This 297-nucleotide long non-coding RNA is filed under the name Nicotiana benthamiana. Its description in RNAcentral is "long non-coding RNA (NBEN_LNC020631)". The record is from RNAcentral. Lineage: Eukaryota; Viridiplantae; Streptophyta; Magnoliopsida; Solanales; Solanaceae.
ACAGGUUGAAAUUCUUCUUAGUAAACAUUUGGUUGUUUCCACCAGAUUUGAUAUACAUAGCUACAUCAAACUGACUUGUUCCAGCAACAGGAUUUACCCCUAAUAUUCCUGCAUUAUUGGCCACUGAUUUCUGGCUUUCAUUACUAAUUACCAUAGCAUAAGCUUGGUUAACAGAUGGCAUUGGACUCAUUAGAAAGAUCUGACUCCUAGCUUGCCCAUUGGAAUCAUUUAGCCCCAUCAAGAAUUGAAACAAUUUUAACUUUUGCAGAUGAACUAUAAAAUCUAUUGACUUAGGAC